CCAAUUCAAGCAAGUGAGGUGGUAGAGUUCAUAAGUGUUCUUCCCUCAUUUGUUAACUAGACUCAAGAAGUCUCACAACCUAAAAUUGGGUAAACGGUGAGUGUGUCUUAGAUCCAAAGUCUAAGCCUCACCUAGGAGACCUCGCCUUUACUUUUUCCAUUUCCAUUCAAGUUUUAUCUUUUGCUUUUACUAAGUUGCGAAUUAGGAGCGCACCUAGAGUUCGAUUUUAGAGUCCCAAUUUGUUGUUUACUUUGUUUUUGCUUUGCUUUUGAGUCUUC
RNAcentral lists this long non-coding RNA (278 nucleotides) under Vigna radiata. RNAcentral describes it as "long non-coding RNA (VRAD_LNC012914)". The record is from RNAcentral. Lineage: Eukaryota; Viridiplantae; Streptophyta; Magnoliopsida; Fabales; Fabaceae.